This 460-nucleotide ribosomal RNA is filed under the name uncultured bacterium. RNAcentral describes it as "partial 16S ribosomal RNA". It matches the Rfam family "Bacterial small subunit ribosomal RNA", at positions 338 to 795 of the family's 1533-position model. The record is from RNAcentral.
CCUACGGGUGGCAGCAGUGAGGAAUAUUGGUCAAUGGGCGCGAGCCUGAACCAGCCAAGUAGCGUGAAGGAUGACUGCACUACGGGUUGUAAACUUCUUUUAUAAAGGAAUAAAGUGAGGCACGUGUGCCUUUUUGUAUGUACUUUAUGAAUAAGGAUCGGCUAACUCCGUGCCAGCAGCCGCGGUAAUACGGAGGAUCCGAGCGUUAUCCGGAUUUAUUGGGUUUAAAGGGAGCGGAGAUGGGUUGUUAAGUCAGUUGGUAAAGUUUGGGGCCCAACCGUAAAAUUGCAAUUGAUACUGGCAGUCUUGAGUUCAGGUGAGGUAUGCGGAAUUCGUGGUGUAGCGGUGAAAUGCUUAGAUAUCACGAAGAACUCCGAUUGCGAAGGCAGCUUACUAAACUGCCACUGACAUUGAUGCUCGAAAGUGUGGGUAUCAAACAGGAUUAGAUACCCCAGUAGUC